GUAGUUCGAUGCACUGGAAACAAAUUUAUAAUAGAACUGUCAUGCGAUUUGUGUGUUGACAGUUGACAUCAGUUGAGAUAACAGAAUGUGUUGUUCAUACCAGAUGACUACUGUGGCAAAAUGUGUGUUCAGACCACUACAGUGAACAGUGUAAAAAAUGACGGAGACUAUAUGUAUGGAUUGUGGAAGACCCUUACGUACAGUCCCAUGAGAGUUGGGCAUGCCCAUCAGAAACAAGUGAACCCAUACGCUUUUGUAGAAAGGAGAGUGAAAGUCCAAAACUCAAACUAGAUACUAGAAGAGACAGAAGAUAAUAUUUAGCUGAAAGUGAAUAUGAAAUAAAUAAAUUUAUGAAUACGUACAAUCAGUGCUUGAUUUGUGACGGUACAAAUGAGUACCUCUGAUGGAGAGGGGAAUCAGAACCGCAGGUUUUGAGGUGUGGUUAUGAUAGAACUUUUGCUGCAGUUAAUGCAGUGUGAAAUAAAUGCUGUAUUCACAUUUUUCAAAUGCUCACAAAAGUGUUAAAAUAACAUUUUAAGAAGUCUAUAUUUCAGAAGCAACUCCUUUGAAGUCACAGUAUGAGAACCUUUUUUUAACAAAUCAAGCACUGACUGUAACUAAAGACAUUCCCUUUAACAAAAAGCUGUAGAAAGAGAAAAUAUAUCUGUAUAUAUAUCUGUAG
Molecule: long non-coding RNA, 682 nt
Organism: Schistocerca nitens (vagrant locust)
Lineage: Eukaryota; Metazoa; Arthropoda; Insecta; Orthoptera; Acrididae
Exons: 2
Source: RefSeq, a predicted model, not a curated record